RNAcentral lists this non-coding RNA (29 nucleotides) under Mus musculus (house mouse). Lineage: Eukaryota; Metazoa; Chordata; Mammalia; Rodentia; Muridae. The record is from RNAcentral.
UGCUUGGAUGUUACUCUAGAACCUGGAAG